RNAcentral lists this ribosomal RNA (109 nucleotides) under Erinaceus europaeus (western European hedgehog). The record is from RNAcentral. Lineage: Eukaryota; Metazoa; Chordata; Mammalia; Eulipotyphla; Erinaceidae.
GUCUAUGGCCAUACCACCCUGAACACACCUGAUCUCGGAAGCUAGGCAAGGUCGGGCCUGAUUAGUACUUGGAUGGAAGACCACCUAGGAAUACUGGGUACUGCUGGCU